Molecule: ribosomal RNA, 492 nt
Filed under: uncultured bacterium
Lineage: Bacteria
Description: partial 16S ribosomal RNA
Rfam family: Bacterial small subunit ribosomal RNA
Source: RNAcentral
AGUGAACGCUGGCGGUAGGCCUAACACAUGCAAGUCGAACGGCAGCACAGUAAGAGCUUGCUCUUACGGGUAGCGAGUGGCGGACGGGUGAGGAAUACAUCGGAAUCUACUUUUUCGUGGGGGAUAACGUAGGGAAACUUACGCUAAUACCGCAUACGACCUACGGGUGAAAGCAGGGGAUCUUCGGACCUUGCGCGAUUGAAUGAGCCGAUGUCGGAUUAGCUAGUUGGCGGGGUAAAGGCCCACCACGGCGACGAUCCGUAGCUGGUCUGAGAGGAUGAUCAGCCACACUGGAACUGAGACACGGUCCAGACUCCUACGGGAGGCAGCAGUGGGGAAUAUUGGACAAUGGGCGCAAGCCUGAUCCAGCCAUACCGCGUGGGUGAAGAAGGCCUUCGGGUUGUAAAGCCCUUUUGUUGGGAAAGAAAAGCAGCAGGUUAAUACCCCGCUGUUCUGACGGUACCCAAAGAAUAAGCACCGGCUAACUUCGUG